This is a long non-coding RNA of Epinephelus fuscoguttatus (brown-marbled grouper), 4704 nucleotides long. RefSeq lists it as uncharacterized. The transcript has 4 exons. NCBI's taxonomy places the organism in Eukaryota, Metazoa, Chordata, Actinopteri, Perciformes, Serranidae. The record is from RefSeq and is a predicted model, not a curated record.
GUGAAAGUAUUUUAUGAAAAGGCUAAGACUAUGGAGAGGAUGAACCAUCAUCCAAUCACGUCUUUGUAAAGAUAAGUGUGCCCAUAGAUGCCAGUGUUCUUCAUUUUGAGAGCACACUGUUCCCCAAAUAUCCAAGAAAUUCAGUGGAGUUGGGAAGUUAAGUUAAGUAAGAAGACAUUUUUUUUUUAAAUCACUGUGUAAAAAUUAUUUGAUUAUAGAAUCUUUUACAUUAUUCUUAUGGUAUUUGCUUUGUUUGUAAAUUAAACUAUCAAAAUGAAGGUUGGGGCAGUGUCAUUUUCGGUAUCACCACUGGGAGGCACCAGAGACAGAAAAUUUCAAAACCUAAAUUUUCUGUCAAAGGAUAAAAAGAAAAGAUAGUAUGUUUCUUAUUAACAGUGUUCUUUGGCAAAGUGCUGUUCGUUUUGUUAAUAAUAAUGAUAUUUGAAAAAAUCCUGAAAAUCUGUGAAGCCACAGGAAUCUGUACAGACCUUUGUUCAGAUUUAGUGAUCAAUAAAGUGCUCUGAACAGCCAGUGGAUCCUGCUAAAACACUGUCAAAUUAGCACAGGAACCAGGCAUAUCUGCAAGCUCAUGUUUUAUUUGCUCUGGCAGAUGCGUCUGGUCCCCAUCCUGUUCAGACAGAUUUCCAGUCAGCCUGAGCCAGCUCGCACUACUCAUAUUCAUUUAUAUAAUAUGGGGGCAAGUUUGAUAUGAUGACUGACAACUUGUAGAGCCUUUGUGCUUCACAGUAUAUGAAAUAAGUGAUUACAAUAUUUUUGGCUCACACACAUUCACGCUGUGGACACUACGGUGAGCGCAUUUUUGUUAACAACCAAGAUGGCAGGUUGGAGAAUCAAGUACUUUGCAACAGCUUUGUGGCUUAUCUAUUGUCUCUGCUUACCUCAUCUAGAUUUCUGCGUCAAUGACGAUUAUCUGCUGCACUGAGGAUAUCUAUUUUUAACUGCUUCCUUGUCCUCCUGAGAAUGAAAAGAUGACAUUGUGAUAAAACAAUUUAGACGUGACAACAACAAGCGUUCAAAGGAUUGCAGAAAAAAGAACAUCUGAAGCAGCAGUGUGAAUUCUGAAUGCAACAUAACUUUUCUCUGCUGGUGCUGUGAAGGCCCUGAACAACAAUCAAUACAAACAGCCAGCGGACUGAAACACAGGUCUCUUUCGCCUGUAGCUCACUGAGUUUAACCAUAGAUCUUAGAUCACAGAUCUUUGGUUUCGACACCUGAUUGAUAGGAGUCUUCCCGAAAAUGGCCUCAAGAGGCAUCACACUACCACCUCCUUUGUCUGAUCUCCUGCAGAGACUAGAUGACAAUGGGAGAUUAUUUAUUGAACUGUAUGACCAUAGGAAAGAAAGAAUGCAAGACAUAGCAAACGAGCUAAGUGCAAUUGCUGCAAAGGUAAAUGAGAUGCAGAAAACCACAAACAUCACCAGAAUGAGCGGGGCAGUUUUGGGAGCUCUUGGCAUUGUGGCCGCAGCUGCAGCUUUGUUAGCAGGGGGAUUAUCAGGAGCUGAAAGAAUGGCAAUGGUAGGGGGCGCUGCAGCAAUUGGUGGAGGUGCAGCUGUCAUUACAGCAAAUGCAACCCAGUUACAGACAGAGAAAAUAAAUUUGAAAACUGUGGAGGGGUUUGGAAGAGAAUUCCUGACAAUCGCUGAACUACUAAAGGAUGUCCUGGAAGAAAUUAAGGCGUUGUCUGAGGAGUUGGAGGAAAAAUCGUCCUCAUUAUUGACUACAACUAGACAACAAGCAAGAAGAGGUCUGUCAGAAACAAGACAACUUCAGCAGCUUCUCAGGCAAACAGCUCAACAGGCAGGAAACAGCAGGGAAGUUAUGGAUGCGACUCUGAGGAAAGUGAGGGAGCUAUUAACCUUCAUUAUCAGUAUCACCCGAAUCACUUCAACGGCUGAGAGUGACGCAAAGUUGAGAACCUGUAUCACAGAUUCCGCCUUGCAGUGUGAGAAAACUGUUCAUGAGUUUGCAAAGAUGAGAAAUACGCUCAGGGACUUUUUGUGAGGAAAAAAAUAUGUUGUGUCUCUGUUUGAUGGACUCUAGCUUGCAGGCUGGAGUUGCGCGCAGACAUUUUGAGAACAAAAUAAAACAGGCUGCAGUGGGAGUCUCAAUUAAAUAGCAGGUUGUGCUAUGAGUCCUUCUAAAGCAAGCUCAGGGGUUUAGUGUUGCCAGAGCCCACAGGAAUGACGCACUGCAAUGCUUUUUUUCCCCUCAGAAUGAGGAUUAGAAUAUAUGCAGUUCACAUAACUCGAUGAAAUUAAUUUAUAUUUUUAAAUGCUUGAAGAUCCACUCAUUACGAAAAGUGUCACAGUGAUAUUUAAGGUGUGUUGAGGGAUUCAUGUCGUCAACUCAUACACCGAAUAACAAACUGUAAACAUUCCACCCUUAAAAGUCACCAGCAGUCGGCCCAGUGAAUUAAGUUAUUUUUUCUCUGACUCCAGCAAAACAUCCUUUUUUUUAUAGUUAUAUUUUAAUAAUUUAUGUAACAUUAUGAACAGUGGUUACAUAAGCUUCAAAACCAGUCACAACUCAGCCCUGAGCAGACUGUCCGCUAUUGACCAAUGUAUCGGACUGCAGUGUUCACAGCUCCACCUUUUAGUACCGAGUGGUUCCACUAGUACCAUCCACAACUUUUCACAGUGGAAACGGAAAAAAAGCGCACCGAACUAAACUGAACUGUACCAUACUGCUUGGUGGAAACGGGGCUAAAGUCAAUGUAUCCUCAAACAACAGUGCAAUUUCUUCCGAAAAUGCAGAUACAGCAGUUCAUAUGACAUUUAACAAAUUAGUGUCCCCCAAAUGUUAUCUACUUAAUGUAAAGUUAUGUAGGAAAGGUUUAGGAAAAGAAACAUUGUGAUGACGUACCAUGAAAUUAUUCAGAGUUCACUUAGUUUCACACGGUUCUAAACAGCAGUCUCUUGCGGCUAAGUCCUUUAUUGUUUGACCCAUACACCACCCCAGCCUGCCUCUUCACGUGGACAUUCAGUUUAUAUACUACUUCAUUCUUUGCUCCUGUCAGCACAUUGGUCACAUGAUCGCAACCUUCACGAUUACUUGGUAUACACUAAUUACUGGCUCAUAAUUAUGUGGGUUAUAUACAAAUUGUGUUGCGUUACUUUUUAUAGAUAAAUGUAUGAACAGUGCAUGAGAACAGCCUGACAAAGUAAACAAACUUGCACUGUGGCCUACAUGUCAUGGACAGAUGGUGUGUUGUUAGUGGUGCUGAGGAGUAAGGACCACACCAGUAUCAAACCAGACCCAAGUGACAUUUGCAGGCAAAUUUACAGAAGCUUAUUAGUUAUGUAGCCUGCAAGCUGGUGUCAGCAGUGCACUUUUCCCAGUUGAAUAUUCGUUUUGUCACUCAUUCAACAAGCAAAGGUUCAGGACAAGGUGUGUGUAAGCGAGAUAAAAAGGAGACUUAAAGGUCCAGUGUGUUGUAGUUAGCGGCAUCUAGUGGUGAGGUUGCAGAACUGAAUGCUUUCCUGUGUGCAAACAUUUAGAAGAGCUACAGAGGCUGACACGAAAAUGUGACUGGUCCUAUCUAGAGCCAGUGUUUCAUUUGUCCACAUUGGGCUACUGUAGAACAACAUUGCGGACUCAGUGGAAGAGGAACCACUCUACCCACUGUAGAUAACAGCUCAUUCUAAGGUGACAAAAACAUUUUUCUGUUUUCAGGUGAUAAAAACUAAUAAAUACAUAGUCAUAGAUAUUAUAUACCAUUCUGCCAAUAGUUUCCCCUAAAUCAUACACACUGGACCUCAAAGCAGGAAAGCUAACAUGUCUUAAACAUAAAAUACAAAUUUUCCAGUUUUGGUUUUUGAUUUAUUUUAUUCAAAUUUUAGAUAUGCACACUGUAGUGAGCUAUUUAGUUUUAAUUUCACUUGGACUCAAAGGACAACUUUUAUUCCUUCAAUCAGUUCAUGCAUUCAGUUUUGCGUCCAUUAGAGUUUUUGUCUUUGUUUUUGGCACCUUCUUUUAGAAGUAAUAGGUAAUAGGUAGGUCUAUUAUAAGUUUUUUUUCAACUUCUUAUCUGCUAUUUAAAGUUUUGUAUUUUGGGCCAGGCAUCACUAACCAUUGCACAUUUCUUAAUUUCUUGUUCUUGUUUUAUCUUCAACCAGUAUGUGUAGUGUUUUUUAUGCGUUUUAAUCCAUUUGUGCCUGCAACUGAAUAUUUUCUUUGGUUGAAGUGUUCUCUGGACUUGCCUCAGCACAAAUCAGAAAUUUUCAAAAUCAAUCAGUUUGGCUGAAAAAUUUGUUUUUCUUAUUCUAUUUUGUUUAAUUUUGGGGCACAUGGGACGACUGUUCUGUUUUAUCUUUUUUUAACUGUAGAUAAUGUCUUUGAAUAAGCAAUAAAAAUGUUAAAGUUCAAAGCAUUUCCUCAUUAUAGAAUUAAAACAAAAAUUAUGGAGAUUUUCUUCUGUCUUGGUUUGAAAAGUGCUUAUGGGUGAUGUUUUACUUAUUUUAAUAACAUAAGGCAUGAAUAAAUGUUUUACAUCCUAUUCUGUUUGCUGAACAUAAAUAGCUGUCAUGGGUGUUAGUCAAAGAACUGUGUAAUCGGCUGAGCCAUCAGUGUGUUAAACCAGUUCAACCUGAAGGAGGUUGUUCCUCUGUGAAUGACGUUUGACAGUAUUCAGACAGUUCUGUCAUUGUUGUGUUAUGUUCCCAAAAUAAAGAAUACAUGAAAAUA